RNAcentral lists this long non-coding RNA (246 nucleotides) under Setaria viridis. Its description in RNAcentral is "long non-coding RNA (SVIR_LNC006495)". Lineage: Eukaryota; Viridiplantae; Streptophyta; Magnoliopsida; Poales; Poaceae. The record is from RNAcentral.
CAAUUUGAGAAUGGAGGAAGCAAGAAAGAGUCCAAAUGAGUCUCGGAAAAAGGACUUUGAAAACCAACACUUCAGUUCGGAAAAUUCCGGAGGAACCUUCGGAAAAUUCCGGAUUUUCAGAAAUUUCCGGAAAAACCUUCGGCAAUCUCAGGAGCUUCGGAAAUUUCCGAAAUCUUGUAAAAUAUUACGGAAUCCUAGAAAUCAGCCUUCGUGAGGAAGGUAGAAAAAUCCGAAACUCGAUCAAAC